GGGAGCGUUAUCUCUUCAAUGCUUUGGUGAUUGUGUUAAUGUGGUUUGUUUUCUACAAUGGGUCACGGCAUGCAACUGAAUUCUACAAAAGGCAUCUGUGGUUAGGCACUGGAGUCGAAGGAUGAUGGGAUGGAAGAGUAGGCCUAUAUAUAUAUGGUGUCAUGUCUACCUCUAUUUGGAUAAUUACUUGGGAAUUCCUGCAGUUUGUAUUUAUCAUUUGUGUGUCAAGCGUAUGCAUUAACCAUUUACACUUGUUAUCUAAUCUUGAUUGUUAACAUAUUUCUCAGUUCAAGCCUAGGAAGAUGGGUGUUUUCCUUUA
Molecule: long non-coding RNA, 319 nt
Organism: Vitis riparia (riverbank grape)
Lineage: Eukaryota; Viridiplantae; Streptophyta; Magnoliopsida; Vitales; Vitaceae
Exons: 3
Source: RefSeq, a predicted model, not a curated record